This 253-nucleotide ribosomal RNA is filed under the name uncultured bacterium. Its description in RNAcentral is "partial 16S ribosomal RNA". It matches the Rfam family "Bacterial small subunit ribosomal RNA", at positions 524 to 776 of the family's 1533-position model. The record is from RNAcentral.
UACGAAGGGGGCUAGCGUUGCUCGGAAUUACUGGGCGUAAAGCGCACGUAGGCGGCUUUCUAAGUCGGGGGUGAAAUCCUGGAGCUCAACUCCAGAACUGCCUUCGAUACUGGAAAGCUCGAGUCCCGGAGAGGGUAGUGGAAUUCUCGGUGUAGAGGUGAAAUUCGUAGAUAUCGAGAGGAACACCGGCGGCGAAAGCGGCUACCUGGACGAGGACUGACGCUGAGAUGCGAAAGCGUGGGGAGCAAACAGG